Molecule: ribosomal RNA, 241 nt
Filed under: uncultured Pseudomonas sp.
Lineage: Bacteria; Pseudomonadati; Pseudomonadota; Gammaproteobacteria; Pseudomonadales; Pseudomonadaceae
Description: partial 16S ribosomal RNA
Rfam family: Bacterial small subunit ribosomal RNA
Source: RNAcentral
AGUAAUGCCUAGGAAUCUGCCUGGUAGUGGGGGACGAACGUUUCGAAAGGAACGCUAAUACCGCAUACGUCUACGGAGAAGCAGGGACCUUCGGGCCUUGCGCUAUCAGAUGAGCCUAGGUCGGAUUAGCUAGUUGGUGAGGUAAUGGCUCACCAAGGCGACGAUCCGUAACUGGUCUGAGAGGAUGAUCAGUCACACUGGAACUGAGACACGGUCCAGACUCCUACGGGAGGCAGCAGAA